UAUCUCUGAAGUGCUUUGUGAUGGAUC
Molecule: small RNA, 27 nt
Filed under: Bombyx mori (domestic silkworm)
Lineage: Eukaryota; Metazoa; Arthropoda; Insecta; Lepidoptera; Bombycidae
Description: ovarian small RNA-23766
Source: RNAcentral